Long non-coding RNA from Callorhinchus milii (elephant shark), 411 nucleotides. RefSeq lists it as uncharacterized. The transcript has 2 exons. NCBI's taxonomy places the organism in Eukaryota, Metazoa, Chordata, Chondrichthyes, Chimaeriformes, Callorhinchidae. The record is from RefSeq and is a predicted model, not a curated record.
CCCGCCAGACCAGUCGUUGUAUACGUGAGUUGUCCGGGACAACCCGCCGCUGGGCGGACCUAGAUCGAGAAGGAUCGAAAGGCCGUAUACAAGAAUUAUCUGGGAUAAUUUGCUCGCACACUCUACAGCCUCAAACGGUGAGGAUCCCCCUGAGAGAAAGUCGUCCUCGACGUACAAGUGGGGUGAGUGGUGGAGCCGGUCUGGGGGCAAACCGGGAGAGUGGACUAUCACCGAGACAUCGUUGGUCCCCUCGCUGCAACCGGGAGACUGGAUCCUGAUUAAAGACGUAAAAAGAAAGACCUGGCAUCACCCUAAAUGGAAGGGACCGUUUCAAGUCCUCCUGACUACUCCCACCACCGCUGUUAAAAUUGCAGAAAGAACUACUUGGAUACAUUUGACACAUUGUAAAAA